UAUUCGCAAAGAUUAUAUUUUAGUUUGCAUUUUGCCUUUAUUGCGUAGUCCCCUUGUACUUCAAAGACCAUUCACCUCUAGCACCAGACUUCUCUGAGCUUCAAAACCAAAUAACCAACUGUCUUUUGGACAUUAGUUUUCAAGUCAAUAAAAAAAAAAGAUCAAUUUCCCAGCAGAAAGAAGAGCAAGAGUAGAAAAAUGCAGAAAACAACUGAAAAUCACGAGCAAAUAUAUGAAAAACAUAGACUGUUCAGAAAUCAAACAAAUACAAGUUGAAACAACAAGUAAAGGACUACGUCUCGGAUGGCAGAAAAGGAACCAGUGUUUUGGACUCCCGGCUAGGGGUCCAAUCGGAGCUGUAGCCACCGGCCUACGCCAGAGCCACAGCAACUCGGGAUCCGAGCCGCGUCUGCAACCUACACCACAGCUCACGGCAACGCCGGAUCGUUAACCCACUGAGCAAGGGCAGGGACCGAACCCGCAACCUCAUGGUUCCUAGUCGGAUUCGUUAACCACUGCGCCACGACAGGAACUCUUGAUGAGGUAUUUUUAACACAGUGUUCGCUUAACCUGCACAGAAACUGAAUACUGAAAUGCACCAAAAUGGCAUGCUUUGUCUUAGUCGCUGAGGGUUUCCUGCUUUUUGAUCUACAAGGAGAUUAUUUUGUGCAUAAAUUCAACUACAACUCUUCUUAGGAACAAUGACAAAAAUCACAGGAACGGGGCAGGAUGAAGGCACACGAAAUCAGUUGGGCUUAAUUUGGAAUUUUUUAGCAAUUUCAUCCCAAUAUCAGAAAGUAGGUUAUGGUCUCAGGUAUCACACUUCUUUUGCAUCCUUGUUUAUAUCCUGCAGUCAAAGUGGAACUUGUUAAAAUAAUUUCGUAAGAAUGUAAACAAAACAAAAUGAUGGGACCUACCAUCCCACCUACAGAAGCAAUCACUUCACCAUGUUAUAUUUUCCUCCGGUUUAAUUUCUAUGCACUUUAUGUUGCUGACAUCACAUUGUAUGAAUAAAACCAUCCUAUACGUAUUUGAACAACAAACAGACAAAAGGUAAAGUAUUAUUUUUCCCCAACGAAAUUGAUGACAUUUUUAAGAAAAUGAAAACACUAAUGUUUGAUGGUAGGAAGGUCAAGAGAUCUCCUACACAACUCUUAGCAAUAUAAACUGUGGGAGAUGGAACAUUCAGACAGACAAUGGCCAGACCGUAUAUGAAAACAGAACACUGACCCACACCUGCAGCAACCUGCCCGGGAAAUCAACCCCUUACCAACAGCCCAGGAAACCUGGCUGCUAUUAAAUCAGACUUAUAGGCAGUCAGACUGCUGUCUAGCAACAGCCAGGAAGCCAAACAGUAAUUUCUGUAACAACUGACUGAAAGUGGCCAAGACUUGAUUAAUAACUGACAGCUUCCCUAAUUUUCGCCCCUGCUUCCAACUUAGAACCUGAAAAAGCUAAAUAUGCAUUCUUAGCCAAUUUCAUAGCAUUUCUGGCUUCCGGUGGUUCACUUAUGGCUUCCCCGUGCCAACAGCCUCUAAUCUGUGUGUUCCCAGAAGCCUUCUCUUUUCCCACCGUGAAGUUUACCACGCCUCUGCUUGUACCUGUGUCUCUGCCAAAACGCCAGUGACGGUGGCUGAUUUCCAUGCUGGAGCAGGCUCUGAAUGAAUAGCCAUGGCUUUUCUCAUCUGGUUAUUGCUGUAUUUGUUUCUAUAAUGGAUACCGCCUUUCAUUAGCACACCUACCAAAAUGAUGUACGACGACGUUAAUUAAAUGUACUCAAAGUAUGCAACCGAAAAAGAGUUGAUUAUAUAAACUACGGUAUUUUCACAGAGUGCGAUUUGAUUGUGCACCAUUAAAUUAUAUAU
RNAcentral lists this long non-coding RNA (1865 nucleotides) under Sus scrofa (pig). RNAcentral describes it as "lncRNA (ENSSSCG00050073472.1)". Lineage: Eukaryota; Metazoa; Chordata; Mammalia; Artiodactyla; Suidae. The record is from RNAcentral.